CUACAUGAAGCUGGAAUCGCUAGUAAUCGCGGAUCAGAAUGCCGCGGUGAAUACGUUCCCGGGUCUUGUACACACCGCCCGUCACACCAUGGGAGCCGGGAAUGCCCGAAGUCAGUGGCCCAACCGCAGGGAGGGAGCUGCCGAAGGCAGGCCCGGUGAACUGGGGUGAAGUCGUAACAAGGUAGC
Molecule: ribosomal RNA, 186 nt
Filed under: uncultured bacterium
Lineage: Bacteria
Description: partial 16S ribosomal RNA
Rfam family: Bacterial small subunit ribosomal RNA
Source: RNAcentral